CCUCCCCACCUAUCCCCAUCGUCUUCCUGCUCCGACUCCAGGCCACGAGCUGCUCCCCGCCAAUGGCUCCGCCCCGCGCCUCCUCGCGGCUAUGCCGCCGGCGAUGUGCGCCGCCCCCGGCCGCGCGUCGCUUUCCUCCUCCCGGCAACGCGCCGCUCGCCUCCUCCCGCCCACAUGCCCCAGCGACUCCUCCCUGCUCCACUCCCGACGAGUCGCGCUGCCCCUGGUCACGUUGGGACAUGGGAUAGGUGGGGAGGGUUCGAGUUAAACUCCAUAGGGUGAUGGCAGCUCGCCGCCUUAAAUCCAGGAGGGGGCGACCUGGACCACGCGCACGUCCUCCAGGGGUACAUAAUCGUCCAAAUCUCGCGUUGUUUAUUUUGGGCUCGAUGGUUGCUGGUUUGAUUUGGGGUUGGCGUGUUUGAGGGCGCUCAACUUGGUCGGCGUCCAGUCCUGGCCGGCCUCAACUUCCAUCGUGCAGUCGCGGCCGUGCGGCCGUGACUGUUCCUCUGCUGUCAGUCUAUGAUGGCGGUCAGUCACGGGGGACAGCGCCUAGCUAUCUUUGGAUUGAUGGCGUGAACGUGGGCUCUACAGGAUACCGAGGAGCGCGAGGUUGCCCGUGCCUCCAGCCCCUUGCCGAGAAAACUGAUUGUGUGUGCAAGAGACAUACAGACUUUUCAAAAUCCAAAUACGUUUUCUCCCACUCCUCUUUUGGGAUUUGAUUGGUGCUAUGUUUCUGAAGCCUAGGAAGAGAUGGAGCAUUGCUGUUGAAGAUGGCGAAGGUGAGGAACAUGCACUGUAAUGAAGGAUGCUAACUUAUUGUCCUGAGGAGAGCUGCUGCUACCAUUGACCGGAAUGAAGACAAAGGAUCAAUUUAGGUGGUGAAUGGAAGACUUAAUUCGAGCAACCUGUAUAGAGCCAAAGAACAACGACAGUAAGAAGCAGAUUUCCUGUUCGUUUACAUGGGGCACUUCCUCGCUAGCCUUGAACAAGAUUUCAUCUGUUUUGUCAGACCAAAAGCUGUAGAAACUAGAAAGAACUCUGGUAAUCUGUCAAAGCUUACUUGGCCUGAAACUAUUUAUUUUCUCUUUAUCUUCGCAGGAUGAAGGAUUUAGCUUCUUCUUUGCCUUUUUAUUUUUUUCCAUGUAUCAUGUUACUUGUCAAAGCGAAGCAAUAAAAAAACUCCAGCAACAUACACUGAAAUUGUCACUUUAAGAAGGAACGGGCAGAACCCAUGGUGUGGCUUGAAAUAGGCAAGCACACGAGAAGAAUUGAUCAAACACGUUCUCAGCCUGACUGCCUGAGCUGGGAGCGGUGUAUAGGAUGUUCAGUGUUGCAUGUUCUGAUGCCAGAUAAUGUUCAGUUGAAAGAGAUGGCUAUUAGGUGCGUGCAAGUACAAGCGUGAAAUGAGUGUCAAUUUGUUAUUCGCCAAAGUGAUAUAGAAACGAAGAUCCUGUAACUGAAGUUGCAUCCUCAGUCCUACAUAAGACAUCCUUUUUCGCAGGAUAAAUGGUCACAACUUCUUCAUAUAUAUAGGCGGUGUCGCUGGCGGAAUGGCAAGAUGCCCAGUCUGAUGACCUAGGUCUGUGGCAAGUUGGUGGACCUCGACUACAGGAACAUCACGGAGGCAAUCGAUAGUAGGUAAUGCUCCCACUUGAUUUUCCAAAUGCAUGUGGCCACAUAUAGAGAGACAACAUGGAAUUGUAUUUCUUUGGGCGCUGUGAUGCAUGAUGAGUGGGCAACCAACAUUGUAUGCAAUGAAGCGGAACCUCAAGAAUAUGCUUUCUCUUCUGUUUUUUAACAUGUUCCUUUUUUGUUAUUUUGUAUUUAGUACGUACAGUAUGUUCUUUGUCCGGAAAGAGCGCGGGGACAUCUGCAGUCAACAGCUGAUAGAGAUGGCAUGUACGUGAUCGAUAGGCUUUCAAUUAGUAGCGGUAAUGCAACACCGUAUUUUCCAGCCAGUUCCACUUUCCCGAUUUAUAUAUCAUGGUUAUGGUGUACCCCUUUUAUGUAUACUAUGAUCUGCUUAGUUGCUGCGUGCUCUUGUUAUCAUGGUUUGGCAAUAAACUCUCUAUACAAUAUAUUAUGAACCUAUCAUCUGCCAACUAUCCUUACUUCUGAAACCUAUUUUUGUGUACUUCUGUCGGAUUAUAUUAAUGCACACACACCAUAUUACAGCACACAUGAGCUCUCUCAUCAGAAUCCAGUGAUAGCACACAAGGGUUUACAAGGUCGCCCUAUAUUAGAAUAUCCUCUGCAUUACAAAGAUAAUCUUAAUACUAUUUAUGUUUUC
Triticum aestivum (bread wheat) is the source of this 2290-nucleotide long non-coding RNA. RefSeq lists it as uncharacterized. The transcript is spliced from 7 exons. The record is from RefSeq and is a predicted model, not a curated record. Lineage: Eukaryota; Viridiplantae; Streptophyta; Magnoliopsida; Poales; Poaceae.